Molecule: ribosomal RNA, 377 nt
Filed under: uncultured bacterium
Lineage: Bacteria
Description: bacterial SSU rRNA
Rfam family: Bacterial small subunit ribosomal RNA
Source: RNAcentral
UACGUAGGGAGCAAGCGUUGUCCGGAUUUACUGGGCGUAAAGCGCGCGUAGGCGGUCUGUUAAGUGUGAAGUGAAAUCUCCAGAGCUCAACUCGGAAACUGCUUCGCAUACUGGCAGACUUGAGGGAGGAAGAGGCAGAUAGAAUUCCCGGUGUAGCGGUGACAUGCUUUGAUAUCGGGAGGAAUACCAAUGGCGAAGGCAGUCUGCUGGUCCUUUUCUGACGCUGAGGUGCGAAAGCGUGGGUAGCAAACAGAAUUAGAUACUCUGGUAGUCCACGCCCUAAACGAUGGAUGCUAGGCGUAUGGGGUAUCGACCCCCUAUGUGCCGCAGCUAACUCAUUAAGCAUCCCGCCUGAGUAGUACGGCCGCAAGGUUGAA